Rhagoletis pomonella (apple maggot) is the source of this 353-nucleotide long non-coding RNA. RefSeq lists it as uncharacterized. Lineage: Eukaryota; Metazoa; Arthropoda; Insecta; Diptera; Tephritidae. The transcript is spliced from 2 exons. The record is from RefSeq and is a predicted model, not a curated record.
UCGUUUGAUCCCUAGUGUUGAGUUCAGCUGGAUAUUUUUGUUAUUGCUAUUGUAGGCACAGAUGUAGGUUGUACAGAUAUCCUAAUUAUAAGCUUUAAAGUUACAUAAAGCUUACUAAGGUGAGAAAGUUUGCUAAACAAAGACGGACUUCAGAGCUUCCAGACGAUAACAUCCUGUUAUUAUGAAUAAAGCUUGAAUACAUCUGUUGAUAGGCGCUUUCGCAUUCAAGUAAAUGGCAGAUCUGAGCAAAAAAUAUAGUUUCACUAUGACAGCGUAGCUGAAAACAUCGCGUUACGAAUGUAUUUAGUUAAGCGGGAGCAUCUUUUGAGUUUGUGCUGCGGGCCUUAAUAAAA